AAAUAUCACAACACCCUCGGUCAUAGAGUACUGACAGCAGCAGCAGCAGCAGCAGCAUUCGAGCAGCAGCAGCAACAUCAUUGGAAAAGGCAAUGGCAAUUUACAUGUACAAUGCAAAAGUUUCGAUUUUAUUGUAUGGGAGGAUUGUACGAGAAUACCCGCAGUCAUACCCGUAUGGUAUAGGCGUGUCCGUGUGUGAGUGUGUGCCCGUCGGUUGAGAUGUCUGAUUCUGUUUGUUUUCCGUUCUGACAGCCAUAGGAGAUCGAAACGUUAUGCUACACGAUUUCCAGCCACCCCCCACCACCCUCUGUUAAAUGCAAAAAGCAACCGGUUACGAUUACUGCUGCCGGCCAAAAAGUCCAAAAACAGUUUCGUAACACUCAAUUUUCGGAAAAUGCCAGCUAGUUGGCAAGACUUCAUUUUGGCAUUACAGUCAGUUUUAAAGUGGAUAUUUCUCGCUUUCGAACGCUUAACUGGCUUAUAUUUCUCCCCCCCCCAUCGAACGCUUAGCUUGGCUAAUCACCUGCACUGCCAUGCAAAAGCCAAUUGUUUAGUUCAUUUGUUUUGGCUGAAAGUGAAGUGCAUGCCAGUACCUUGAAGCAGAGACAAAUCGUUGGCCAUUUAAAGCGUAGUUUCUGCUACUUAUGCAUGCCGCCCCAGACUAGCCAUAAGUCUCAUAGAAGUGGGCCAUGGGGAAGUGGUAUUUGCAUGGGGGAGUACACUCAACUUUAGCAACUGCCACUGAAACUGCAAUUUGCAACGGGGUAUGCUAUGCAUGGCCAUAACUAAUUUGCAUAUUGUCUGAUCCAAUUGCAUUAUAGACUCAAACCAAAAUCAAUUGAAACUCCGUUGUGUGCGGCAUGCACUCCAGACAAGGGCACCCCAAAGAAAAAAUAGUAGUUGCUGACCAAAACAUUUCUGUUCUCACGCUUCCCUAAUUAGUGUGUGUCCAGGAGAAUCUAAUUAUGUCUGUGCCAACGGAAAAAACUACAAAACCAAGAAGGUAAGCACAUGCCCCUGGGUGCUAGGGUUGUGUGAUGGAUAUGUGUAUGAUAAGAAAUGUUAACCCUCUCAACCUGCUUAUUUCCAAGCUGCUUUUCGAAAUGAAAUGUUUUGAUUCUUUCGUGUUGCAUGCUGCACAGUGUGGCAUGGCGGUAGCCUGUAAUCGUGCUGUGGCUUGGGCUGCGCAACCACCAACGUAUUAGCAGACCCCCAUGACUGUUUAAAUUUCCACAGAGCAGUUUUUUCCAGCGCUUUUUCUGCGGCUGCUGCUGCUGCUACUGCUGCUUCUCGUGGUGGCCAGGAAACACAACGAACUGCCAAAUGGCUAGCGCAAAGCGGAAGAAAAACUAAAACAAAUGUCAGUCGUAGUUGACGCGUUGCCACCAGGCAGCAGUCGAGCGGCAGAACGGCAGUGGGGGGGGCAGAAGGACUCCAGGCAGGAUGAGAACUAACCGUGGCCAUUCCCCUUUUUGCCUCCGAAGCGACGGUUUGCAGCUGCCAGCGAAAUGCAAAUGUCAUUUGCAGUUGACACUUGACUCAGCACUUCGCACUGUCCUAGGGCACUUUGGGGUUUUCACCUGCGUCGUCUUCCCGGGGUAUGCCUCAUGCCUCAAUCCCCACAGACUCACACUGGCGGCAGACAGAGAGACAGAGGGAGAGAUUGAGGGAUAGGGAC
This 1678-nucleotide long non-coding RNA is filed under the name Drosophila guanche. Lineage: Eukaryota; Metazoa; Arthropoda; Insecta; Diptera; Drosophilidae. The record is from RNAcentral.